UAGUAGUCUCGGUUUUGUUUUUUUGAUUCUUUUUAGCUCUAAAGAUUAAGGGCAGCGCCCCUGCUCUGUCUUGCUAAUUAGACUUAAGAGCCCCUCCUGCCUCAGUGCUUAGUCGGCGGAGACACCUGCUGAGGGGAGGCCCUCCUCCUCCCGCUAAAGUCAAACCACAGGGUCCUGUCUUUGGUUUCCCGGCUCGAUGUGGGCGUGUUUAUAUGUAUAUGUGUGUAAUAAUAUAUUCCCCCCCCCCGCCCCCCGCUCGGCCACAGCAGCAUCAGUUGGGGUUUCCGAAGGUCAGAAAAUGGCUAUUGAUUAAUCUAUCAGAAUAGUUGCAGAGAGAAAUAAAAAGGACGUAAAAUAACAGAGAACCUAUAAAUAAAGCCGCAACUAGCUGCUCGGAGUUGUUAAACGACUUAGCAUGUGAAAAAGUCGGAAAUGAGGCGCUGGGGAAGGAGCCGGCAUUGGCAGCGGCCUGGGAUAUAGACAAACACUCCAAGAUUUUAGUUCCUCAGAGAUCGGCAGCAGAGGAGGUGGAGGAGGAGGCGAGGAUAUGGCCAGUGCGCACCGAGUUUCUUUGGCAAGGAAAGUCAGUGAUGGCUCCGAACCGUUUACGAUACCUUCUAGACAGCUUCCCGCAAAACCGACUGCAGCGGCGAACUGGCUGUCCGCUGUCCCUCGGCAGCGGAAGUCCCAGGUGAAACUGUCUCAGUAACCCAAUAAUUACAAAAAGAACGUCCGAGGGGCACGGAAAAGAAACUGAAUCCACAGAUUCCCUUUGCUCAGCUUCGGUUGUCCAGCCCCAGAGGCAGGCGCGGGCCGGCAGGAGCCCCACCGCAGCCUAGGAGGCUGGGCCCGCGUGGACGCGUUGCACGUGUGUGUGUACGCACGGAAGGGUAGCGGCUCCAGGGGAUGCCCUCCGCAGUCUUCUUGAAGCAUCCUCCAAAUGAGCCUAAUUUCAAUUCCUCGGCCCGCCAGGGCUGGCUCUCAGCACUCCCUCGGCGCCGCUGUUUACUGCCUCUGAGCCUCCCUCGGCCAAGACCUGGCGCGAUCCGUCCAUUCCCCCGUGUCUCUUUGGGACCUCCCUGGGGAAAGAGGUGGGGGUGAACAACUCCCAGCCGCCAGUUCCAUUUGUUGCGCUUUUUUCUUUCGACACAAUAAAAGUCAAAUUAAUUGAUUCAUACCAUUAA
This is a long non-coding RNA of Capra hircus (goat), 1184 nucleotides long. RefSeq lists it as uncharacterized. The record is from RefSeq and is a predicted model, not a curated record. Lineage: Eukaryota; Metazoa; Chordata; Mammalia; Artiodactyla; Bovidae. The transcript is spliced from 3 exons.